This 467-nucleotide ribosomal RNA is filed under the name uncultured bacterium. Its description in RNAcentral is "partial 16S ribosomal RNA". It matches the Rfam family "Bacterial small subunit ribosomal RNA", at positions 28 to 507 of the family's 1533-position model. The record is from RNAcentral.
GACGAACGCUGGCGGCGUGCUUAACACAUGCAAGUCGAACGGAAAGGCCCUGCUUUUGUGGGGUGCUCGAGUGGCGAACGGGUGAGUAACACGUGAGUAACCUGCCCUUGACUUUGGGAUAACUUCAGGAAACUGGGGCUAAUACCGGAUAGGAGCUCCUGCUGCAUGGUGGGGGUUGGAAAGUUUCGGCGGUUGGGGAUGGACUCGCGGCUUAUCAGCUUGUUGGUGGGGUAGUGGCUUACCAAGGCUUUGACGGGUAGCCGGCCUGAGAGGGUGACCGGCCACAUUGGGACUGAGAUACGGCCCAGACUCCUACGGGAGGCAGCAGUGGGGAAUAUUGCACAAUGGGCGGAAGCCUGAGGCAGCAACGCCGCGUGCGGGAUGACGGCCUUCGGGUUGUAAACCGCUUUCGCCUGUGACGAAGCGUGAGUGACGGUAAUGGGUAAGAAGCACCGGCUAACUACGUG